Molecule: ribosomal RNA, 655 nt
Filed under: uncultured bacterium
Lineage: Bacteria
Description: bacterial SSU rRNA
Rfam family: Bacterial small subunit ribosomal RNA
Source: RNAcentral
GAGUUUGAUCCUGGCUCAGAACGAACGCUGGCGGCGUGCUUAACACAUGCAAGUCAGGGAGAAAGUCUCUUCGGGGAUGAUUAAACCGGCGCGCGGGUGAGUAACACGUGAGUGACCUGCCUUUUAGACUGGAACAACUUACCGAAAGGUGAGCUAAUGCCGGAUGAGUUAUAUAAGUGCAUGUUUAUAUAGGAAAAGUUGGGGAGACCUGACGCUGAAAGAUGGACUCGCGUCCCAUUAGCUAGUUGGUAGGGUAAUGGCCUACCAAGGCGACAAUGGGUAGCCGGCCUGAGAGGGUGGCCGGCCACACUGGGACUGAGACACGGCCCAGACUCCUACGGGAGGCAGCAGUGGGGAAUUUUGCGCAAUGCUCGUAAGAGUGACGCAGCGACGCCGCGUGAAUGACGAAGGCCUUCGGGUCGUAAAGUUCUUUCGACAGGGAAGAAAAUGCCUAUAAGUAACUGUGUAUGUAUUGACGGUACCUGUAUAAGCAGCCCCGGCUAACUCCGUGCCAGCAGCCGCGGUAAUACGGAGGGGGCGAGCGUUGUUCGGAGUGACUGGGCGUAAAGAGCACGUAGGCGGUGUUGUAAGUCAUUAGUCAAAGACUAGAGCUCAACUUUAGUAAGGCUAGUGAUACUAUAAUACUAGAGUAUCA